RNAcentral lists this long non-coding RNA (399 nucleotides) under Cucumis sativus (cucumber). RNAcentral describes it as "long non-coding RNA (CSAT_LNC001687)". The record is from RNAcentral. Lineage: Eukaryota; Viridiplantae; Streptophyta; Magnoliopsida; Cucurbitales; Cucurbitaceae.
GUUAACCUGUAUCAGAAGAAAUGAAGUUGUUUUGAAUCAUUUCGGGAAUAGUUGACAUUAAUUUAUAGGUGGCAAACAUGGCUGGCCAAAACCCGACCACAGUUACUCCAAAUUCAUUUCCAACUUCAAUAGCCGAAGAAGCAAGUAAGUCGACCACCAUACAAACAACUCCAGUACCACCACUGCUUUCUUUAGAAUUAUGCUCACUCAAAACUUGUCUAAGACAAACUGGCAUGGUGGUUUCUAUGGCAGCCUCAAUAGUGAAGAAGUCACGUGGCAUGUUAUCGUCGAGGCCAUCUGACAUGGAAACAAAGAUAAUUCCAUCGGAAGACGAAACUUGCGAUGAAAUAUGACAAUGGAUGUAACUAGGAGUGAGAAAGAUAGGAAGAAAACCACGAC